Molecule: ribosomal RNA, 420 nt
Filed under: uncultured archaeon
Lineage: Archaea
Description: partial 16S ribosomal RNA
Rfam family: Archaeal small subunit ribosomal RNA
Source: RNAcentral
CUACGGGACGCUGCAGGUACGAAAACUUUCCAAUGCCUUAACGGGUGAGAAGGGAACCCCGAGUGGCUAUGCAUAGCAUAGCCUUUUGUUUUGCCUAAAGAGCAAGACGAAUAAGUGGUGGGUAAGACGGGUGGCAGCCGCCGCGGUAAUACCCGCGCCACGAGUGGUGAUCGCGAUUAUUGGGUCUAAAGCGUCCGUAGCCGGUUCAGUGAGUUCUUGGUGAAAUCUACUAGCUAACUAGUAAGCUUGCUGAGAAUACUGCUGGACUUGGGAUUGGGAGAGGAUAGAGGUAUUCCAUGGUAGGGGUUAAAUCCUUUAAUCCAUGGAGGACCACCGGUGGCGAAGGCGUCUAUCUGGAACAAGUCCGACGGUGAGGGACGAAAGCUAGGGGAGCAAAUGGGAUUAGAUACCCUCGUAGUC